RNAcentral lists this long non-coding RNA (1494 nucleotides) under Felis catus (domestic cat). RNAcentral describes it as "lncRNA (ENSFCAG00000053716.1)". The record is from RNAcentral. Lineage: Eukaryota; Metazoa; Chordata; Mammalia; Carnivora; Felidae.
AUGAGCCUCAGGCGAGGAGACCUGGAUUCCAGACUCCAUUGUGCCCCUCCCUGCCUUGCGACCCAGGACAGCGACCUAGAUAUCCCUAAACCAGCCUUCCAGCCGGUAAACCGAGAACAGCCCUCGCCACCCAGGGCCCCAGGGGGGGGGGGGGGGGGGGGGGGGGGGGGGGGGGGGGGGGGGGGGGGGGGGGGGGGGGGGGGGGGGGGGGGGGGGGGGGGGGGGGGGGGGGGGGGGGGGGGGGGGGGGGGGGGGGGGGGGGGGGGGGGGGGGGGGGGGGGGGGGGGGGGGGGGGGGGGGGGGGGGGGGGGGGGGGGGGGGGGGGGGGGGGGGGGGGGGGGGGGGGGGGGGGGGGGGGGGGGGGGGGGGGGGGGGGGGGGGGGGGGGGGGGGGGGGGGGGGGGGGGGGGGGGGGGGGGGGGGGGGGGGGGGGGGGGGGGGGGGGGGGGGGGGGGGGGGGGGGGGGGGGGGGGGGGGGGGGGGGGGGGGGGGGGGGGGGGGGGGGGGGGGGGGGGGGGGGGGGGGGGGGGGGGGGGGGGGGGGGGGGGGGGGGGGGGGGGGGGGGGGGGGGGGGGGGGGGGGGGGGGGGGGGGGGGGGGGGGGGGGGGGGGGGGGGGGGGGGGGGGGGGGGGGGGGGGGGGGGGGGGGGGGGGGGGGGGGGGGGGGGGGGGGGGGGGGGGGGGGGGGGGGGGGGGGGGGGGGGGGGGGGGGGGGGGGGGGGGGGGGGGGGGGGGGGGGGGGGGGGGGGGGGGGGGGGGGGGGGGGGGGGGGGGGGGGGGGGGGGGGGGGGGGGGGGGGGGGGGGGGGGGGGGGGGGGGGGGGGGGGGGGGGGGGGGGGGGGGGGGGGGGGGGGGGGGGGGGGGGGGGGGGGGGGGGGGGGGGGGGGGGGGGGGGGGGGGGGGGGGGGGGGGGGGGGGGGGGGGGGGGGGGGGGGGGGGGGGGGGGGGGGGGGGGGGGGGGGGGGGGGGGGGGGGGGGGGGGGGGGGGGGGGGGGGGGGGGGGGGGGGGGGGGGGGGGGGGGGGGGGGGGGGGGGGGGGGGGGGGGGGGGGGGGGGGGGGGGGGGGGGGGGGGGGGGGGGGGGGGGGGGGGGGGGGGGGGGGGGGGGGGGGGGGGGGGGGGGGGGGGGGGGGGGGGGGGGGGGGGGGGGGGGGGGGGGGGGGGGGGGGGGGGGGGGGGGGGGGGGGGGGGGGGGGGGGGGGGGGGGGGGGGGGGGGGGGGGGGGGGGGGGGGGGGGGGGGGGGGGGGGGGGGGGGGGGGGGGGGGGGGGGGGGGGGGGGGGGGGGGGGGGGGGGGGGGGGGGGGGGGGGGGGGGGGGGGGGGGGGGGGGGGGGGGGGGGGGGGGGGGGGGGGGGGGGGGGGGGGGGGGGGGGGGGGGGGGUUGGGGGUGGAGCGGCUCCCGCGGCCCGGACUCCCCCCACGCCCGACCACGCGAGUGACAGUGAGGCGCGGGAGCCGGGGGAAGGAAAUCUCUGGGUCCCCGACGACCCCCGCUAG